RNAcentral lists this ribosomal RNA (112 nucleotides) under Bacteroidetes bacterium GWE2_29_8. Lineage: Bacteria; Pseudomonadati; Bacteroidota. The record is from RNAcentral. RNAcentral also lists the same sequence under 1 other name.
AUAGGCGAUUAUUGCAGUGAGGCUCACCUCUUCCCAUACCGAACAGAGAAGUUAAGCUCACUCACGCAGAUGGUACUGCAGUAAAAUGUGGGAGAGUAUGUAGUCGCCACCU